RNAcentral lists this long non-coding RNA (684 nucleotides) under Homo sapiens (human). Its description in RNAcentral is "HSALNT0217055". The record is from RNAcentral. Lineage: Eukaryota; Metazoa; Chordata; Mammalia; Primates; Hominidae.
GAAUUUGAAGAUCAAGAUGAUGAAGCCAGAGUUCAGUAUGAGGGUUUUCGACCUGGGAUGUACGUCCGCGUUGAGAUUGAAAAUGUUCCCUGUGAAUUUGUGCAGAACAUUGACCCCCAUUACCCCAUUAUCCUGGGUGGCUUGGGCAACAGCGAGGGAAAUGUUGGAUACGUGCAGAUGCGUCUGAAGAAACAUCGCUGGUAUAAGAAAAUCCUCAAGUCCCGAGAUCCAAUCAUAUUUUCUGUAGGGUGGAGGAGGUUUCAGACCAUCCCGCUCUAUUAUAUCGAAGACCACAAUGGAAGACAAAGGCUUCUAAAGUAUACCCCACAGCACAUGCAUUGUGGAGCAGCCUUUUGGGGUAAAAUAUGAUUACAAUAACUUGCCUAUUGCCGAGAUUAAACCUUACAGGCUGCGUUAUUUUAGCUUUGUGCUUUUCCUUUCAUAAAAUUCCACUCCUAAGAUUUUUCUCUUUUCUGGGAGCGGGGAGGUGGUUUGGAGUAUAUAUGUAAAUCUAUAUCCAAAUCUAAAUGUCCAUAUCCAGUAUGUUAAACUAGAAUCUAAAAUUUGUGGUUUGCUAUAUUUCUUUUUUUCCUUUUCCUUUAAGACCCUAUCACUCCACAGGGAACUGGUUUCUUGGCAAUACAGUCUGUCAGUGGCAUAAUGGUAACUAUCUUGGAUGAUUUC